RNAcentral lists this long non-coding RNA (258 nucleotides) under Vigna radiata. RNAcentral describes it as "long non-coding RNA (VRAD_LNC015454)". Lineage: Eukaryota; Viridiplantae; Streptophyta; Magnoliopsida; Fabales; Fabaceae. The record is from RNAcentral.
GUGGUCGUAAGUGGAUGUUUUUUUGUGGAUACUUUGAUUGCUGUGUUUGAAAAUUGCAGUGUAAGAUCCACGCCGUCAUGCAUGCACAUGCUGACCCAUCGUACGUACAAUGAUGCAGCAAUGAACCUCUAUUGUUCACCAUCAUGCUCACCAAAAUCAAUUCCAUAAUUGUGUUUUAAAUUUCCUUAAAUUCAACUCAACUCAAGUUAAUCUUAAUUUAAUGUCAAAAUUAUGCCUCAUUUCAAACUAUGACCUGCC